Molecule: long non-coding RNA, 413 nt
Organism: Passer domesticus (house sparrow)
Lineage: Eukaryota; Metazoa; Chordata; Aves; Passeriformes; Passeridae
Exons: 3
Source: RefSeq, a predicted model, not a curated record
UUCAAAAAAAAAAAAAAAACCAACCUGGCCUGGACCACUGCCAAGAGCUGCUCCAAAACUGACUCUAACUGUUCCAUUUGCUCUUGUGAUAAAUAGGAUGGUUUAAUGGAAACACUGUACACAAAACUGUACUGCUAGGAUAACAGUAUUACCAGACUCUCCAGCUACAGAAAUAGCAGACAAAAAGCAAAUUCUCUCUCUUCACACAAGGAAAUGAGGAACAGCUCCACAGGGCAGAUGUGGAAGAAGAGCCAAAAUCUAUUCCCUGUAGAAUCCUCCUUAAAUGUUUAUCUUCCACUGAAAACACAAGUUUACAGACCAGCAUCCUGAGGAUAUAAAAAACAGCAUGGACUAGCAUCUGUCAUACCAAGAGAUGAACUCUUGGCAUGGAAAUGUCUCAUGGGGGAGCUCUG